Molecule: ribosomal RNA, 1346 nt
Filed under: uncultured bacterium
Lineage: Bacteria
Description: bacterial SSU rRNA
Rfam family: Bacterial small subunit ribosomal RNA
Source: RNAcentral
GACGAACGCUGGCGGCGUGCUUAACACAUGCAAGUCGAACGGAAAGGCCCUGCUUUUGUGGGGUGCUCGAGUGGCGAACGGGUGAGUAACACGUGAGUAACCUGCCCUUGACUUUGGGAUAACUUCAGGAAACUGGGGCUAAUACCGGAUAGGAGCUCCUGCUGCAUGGUGGGGGUUGGAAAGUUUCGGCGGUUGGGGAUGGACUCGCGGCUUAUCAGCUUGUUGGUGGGGUAGUGGCUUACCAAGGCUUUGACGGGUAGCCGGCCUGAGAGGGUGACCGGCCACAUUGGGACUGAGAUACGGCCCAGACUCCUACGGGAGGCAGCAGUGGGGAAUAUUGCACAAUGGGCGGAAGCCUGAUGCAGCAACGCCGCGUGCGGGAUGACGGCCUUCGGGUUGUAAACCGCUUUCGCCUGUGACGAAGCGUGAGUGACGGUAAUGGGUAAAGAAGCACCGGCUAACUACGUGCCAGCAGCCGCGGUGAUACGUAGGGUGCGAGCGUUGUCCGGAUUUAUUGGGCGUAGAGGGCUCGUAGGUGGUUGAUCGCGUCGGAAGUGUAAUCUUGGGGCUUAACCCUGAGCGUGCUUUCGAUACGGGUUGACUUGAGGAAGGUAGGGGAGAAUGGAAUUCCUGGUGGAGCGGUGGAAUGCGCAGAUAUCAGGAGGAACACCAGUGGCGAAGGCGGUUCUCUGGGCCUUUCCUGACGCUGAGGAGCGAAAGCGUGGGGAGCGAACAGGCUUAGAUACCCUGGUAGUCCACGCUGUAAACGGUGGGUACUAGGUGUGGGGUCCAUUCCACGGGUUCCGUGCCGUAGCUAACGCUUUAAGUACCCCGCCUGGGGAGUACGGCCGCAAGGCUAAAACUCAAAGGAAUUGACGGGGCCCCGCACAAGCGGCGGAGCAUGCGGAUUAAUUCGAUGCAACGCGUAGAACCUUACCUGGGUUUGACAUGGAUCGGGAGUGCUCAGAGAUGGGUGUGCCUCUUUUGGGGUCGGUUCACAGGUGGUGCAUGCCUGUCGUCAGCUCGUGUCGUGAGAUGUUGGGUUAAGUCCCGCAACGAGCGCAACCCUUGUUCACUGUUGCCAGCACGUUAUGGUGGGGACUCAGUGGAGACCGCCGGGGUCAACUCGGAGGAAGGUGGGGAUGACGUCAAGUCCUCAUGCCCCUUAUGUCCAGGGCUUCACGCAUGCUACAAUGGCUGGUACAGAGAGUGGCGAGCCUGUGAGGGUGAGCGAAUCUCGGAAAGCCGGUCUCAGUUCGGAUUGGGGUCUGCAACUCGACCUCAUGAAGUCGGAGUCGCUAGUAAUCGCAGAUCAGCAACGCUGCGGUGAAUACGUUCCCGGGGCU